AGGACAAACGCUGGCGGCGUACCUAAGACAUGCAAGUCGAACGGGGCGUCACCGCUUCGGCGGGGAGGUCGAGUGGCGGACGGGUGAGUAACGCGUAGGAACCUGUCGUGAAGUGGGGGAUAACGCUGGGAAACCGGCGCUAAUACCGCAUAGCAUCAGUGAUGAUGAAAGCCGGGUGCUCACGCAAGUGGGUGGCGCUUUAUGAGGGGCCUGCGUCCGAUUAGCUAGUUGGUGGGGUAAAGGCCUACCAAGGCAUCGAUCGGUAGCUGGUCUGAGAGGAUGGUCAGCCACACUGGGACUGAGACACGGCCCAGACUCCUACGGGAGGCAGCAGUUAGGAAAUUUUUCCAAUGGGGGAAACCCUGAGAGAGUAACGCCGCGUGGAGGAUGACGGCCUUCGGGUUGUAAACUCCUUUUCUGGGGACGAGUAGAAGACGGUACCCAGGAAGAAGCCUCGGCUAACUACGUAGCCAGCAGCCGC
Molecule: ribosomal RNA, 481 nt
Filed under: uncultured bacterium
Lineage: Bacteria
Description: SSU rRNA
Rfam family: Bacterial small subunit ribosomal RNA
Source: RNAcentral